Molecule: ribosomal RNA, 253 nt
Filed under: uncultured bacterium
Lineage: Bacteria
Description: partial 16S ribosomal RNA
Rfam family: Bacterial small subunit ribosomal RNA
Source: RNAcentral
UACAGAGGGGGCAAGCGUUGUUCGGAAUUACUGGGCGUAAAGGGCGCGUAGGCGGCCCGCUAAGUCGAACGUGAAAUCCCCGAGCUCAACUCGGGAACUGCGUCCGAUACUGGUGGGCUUGAAUCCGGGAGAGGGAUGCGGAAUUCCAGGUGUAGCGGUGAAAUGCGCAGAUAUCAGGAGGAACACCGGUGGCGAAGGCGGUUCUCUGGGCAUUACCUGACGCUGAGGAGCGAAAGUGUGGGGAGCGAACAGG